UAGAAACAUCAUGGGGAAAAAUGCAAAAUACCUAUGAUUUCUGGAACAAGAUCCAAGAUGACAAAGAUAUUCCCUGCUUAUUCUGCUCAUGCCCGGGCUCCCCUGCCCACCCCCAGUGCGUUCAUGUGAUAUCAUGAAAAAGCAGCAGGGGUGGCAUGAACUUGCACACCAGGCUGCCCAGGCUUGAGACCCAGCUCUGCCACCUAGAAGCUUGGAGCCCCUGAACAAGCCGCAAUUCUGUGCCUUGGCUUUUCUGACUGCAAAAUGAGGAUAAUCACAGCCCCUGCCUCCAAAGUGUCCCGAGGAUCAAAUGAGUUGAUGAUACUUGCACGGCGCUCGGAUCGUGACAGGGUCUUGCUCUGUUACCCAGGCUGGGGUGCAGUGGCACCAUCAUAGCUCCAGGGGACCCUGGCUUGCCCCCCUCUGCCCUCAGCGCCCAGCAGAGAGCCUGGCACAUGAGGAGAGAGAGGUUUGAGGGGAGAGGAAGGAGAGGACAUUCACGCCCCAUGACUGGCUGCCCCAGGUGGUCAGAGGGACAGUUUGACCCGACUUCUCAUCCUCAGAGGAAUCCAGGGGUGGACUUCAGAGCUCACCUCCAAAAGAGAUUGGAAAUUUAAUCACGUACAGUGUCAAUAUGUACACCUACUAUGUACCCACAAAAAAUUAAAAAUAAUAAUAAAAAAAAGAGGCUGUUGCAAUAGCCCAGGCCAGAAAUUCUGGGACCUGAACUAGGAUUUGUGUGGAGAGGAGAAAAUGCCACUGAGGUUUCAAAUUUGGCGGGAUUUGGUGAUUGACUCAGCGAAAGGCAGAAAAAUUGUUUCUAAUCUUCACCCCCCAACACCGUGCCUUCUAACAAGGGCAGUUCCUGGUAAGGACAGGAUCUUUUGAUUGGAGAGCAAAAAGUCAACACCCUUGGUUAUUAUGGCUUUUGGCCAAAUUAUAGGCAAUAGCAGGCAAUGGAAGGAGGAAAAUGAGAGUCUGGAGAAGCAGGGCAGAGCCCACCUGCUCAACUAAGAGGGGACAGGGCUGUGAGGCACGGGUGCUCCUGAAGCUGAAGAAGCCAACAGUGCUGGGAGCUGCCUGGGGGUGGGAGGUCUCCAUAAGCCAGGAUUCUGGGUAUGAGUGGCCCAAAAGAGACCCUGGGAGAGAGGACAUCAGGGGAACAAACAGCUGAGGAGGUGGGCAUGACACAAACCCUUCUCCCAGCCCAGAGCCUCUCCAAAAGCUCAGGCCAGAUAUCCCCCUUUUCACAACACCGGGUAAGCAGAUUCUCUCUUGGGGAAUGAGAAGGGCACGAAGACCUGCUGAAGCCAGUGCAAUCCUGGAAAGUGCCUGGACAGCACCCCAGAAGAGAGGGUGACCUGGGUCACUGAAGACGGGGUGGGGGAUAACACCGUUAACGUGAUGAUACAUCAAUUGUCCCCAGACCACACCAGCGUCUGGAGUGAAUGAAGCGGGCACCCUAGCAGGCAAGGAGGAAGCCCUGCUUUGCUGGUCAUGCAUCCCAGGCUCCCGGAGUGCCCCUGGGAAUUUCCGGACACAUCCAUGCACUUGUGACCCAGGGCCAGAGCCAGGGGUCAUUUGGCUUUGUGCCCCCUCCAAAGCAGGGGUUUCCAGUGUAGCAAACUUGUGCCCCAAAUUCUCAGAGGUGUUUUAUUUGCAGCGCCUGUCCUCAGAAGAAUCAGACAUGAUCCAAAGGGGGCUGGUAGGGGACACUGAGACAGCAAGGCUGCACCAUGCCCAGUGUCGCCUGCCCUGCACAGGCUAGCAGGAGACUGGCACUGUGCUGCCCCUUCGUCCCAGCUGCCAUCUGCAUGGGCGGAAGAGUGCCCUGGGCCCUGGUGGUGCAAGGAGGGCGGGAGACAGACCCUCGCAUUCCUCUGGUCUCAGGGUCGUGGGCCUGGGUGGAGGGGGCACACACCCUACUGGAACAGGGUGCUCCAGGCUGUGCCCAUGGCCUCGACACUCUGCACUUCUUAAAGGGGAAAUGACAAACGGCAGCCUGUUCUUUCUCUUCCUCACCCUCUGAAACUACUUCCUGCCCAGUGAAUUUCUGAUACAUUUUAAUUGAAAAAUUGAUAUACAGAUAAAGCAAAUUGGGGGUAGGUUGGAAUGAAUAGUUGGAGCACAGAGGAUUUUUAGGACAGUGAAACUACUGUGUCUGAUACUAUAAGAGUAGAUGUGUGUCAUCUCCAUCUGUCCAGACCCAUAGAAUGCACAACACCAAGUGUGAACCCUAAUGUAAACUGUGGGCUCUGGGGGAUAAUGAGGUGUCAAUGUAGGUUCAUUGUAACAAACAUGCGGGCUGCUGCGGUGUGGGAUGUUGAUAGUGGGGAAGGCUGUGUGUGUGGCAGGGGGAGGGGUUUUAUGGGGAAUUCACUGUCCCCCUCAACUUUGCUGUAAACCUA
This is a long non-coding RNA of Gorilla gorilla gorilla (western lowland gorilla), 2408 nucleotides long. RefSeq lists it as uncharacterized. Lineage: Eukaryota; Metazoa; Chordata; Mammalia; Primates; Hominidae. The record is from RefSeq and is a predicted model, not a curated record. The transcript is spliced from 3 exons.